Molecule: ribosomal RNA, 708 nt
Filed under: Alteromonas litorea
Lineage: Bacteria; Pseudomonadati; Pseudomonadota; Gammaproteobacteria; Alteromonadales; Alteromonadaceae
Description: bacterial SSU rRNA
Rfam family: Bacterial small subunit ribosomal RNA
Source: RNAcentral
UAGCUGUUCUGAGAGGAAGAUCAGCCACACUGGGACUGAGACACGGCCCAGACUCCUACGGGAGGCAGCAGUGGGGGAAUAUUGCACAAUGGGGGAAACCCUGAUGCAGCCAUGCCGCGUGUGUGAAGAAGGCCUUCGGGUUGUAAAGCACUUUCAGUUGUGAGGAAAAGUUAGUAGUUAAUACCUGCCAGCCGUGACGUUAACAACAGAAGAAGCACCGGCUAACUCCGUGCCAGCAGCCGCGGUAAUACGGAGGGUGCGAGCGUUAAUCGGAAUUACUGGGCGUAAAGCGCACGCAGGCGGUUUGUUAAGCUAGAUGUGAAAGCCCCGAGCUCAACUUGGGAUGGUCAUUUAGAACUGGCAGACUAGAGUCUUGGAGAGGGGAGUGGAAUUCCAGGUGUAGCGGUGAAAUGCGUAGAUAUCUGGAGGAACAUCAGUGGCGAAGGCGACUCCCUGGCCAAAGACUGACGCUCAUGUGCGAAAGUGUGGGUAGCGAACAGGAUUAGAUACCCUGGUAGUCCACACCGUAAACGCUGUCUACUAGCUGUGUGUGCCUUUAAGGCUGUGCGUAGCGAAGCUAACGCGAUAAGUAGACCGCCUGGGGAGUACGGCCGCAAGGUUAAAACUCAAAUGAAUUGACGGGGGCCCGCACAAGCGGUGGAGCAUGUGGUUUAAUUCGAUGCAACGCGAAGAACCUUACCUACACUU